UAAAUACGACACCGGUCACCUUCGUCACACCCAGAACUAGACGAGUCAGUGCCAAGCUCAGGAAUUACCAUGAAUCUCUCUAUCGUUUUUUCGCUGCUCGUCUCCUCUGCAUUUGCAGCUCCCUACUCAUAUCAUACGGCACCU
Daphnia pulicaria is the source of this 144-nucleotide long non-coding RNA. RefSeq lists it as uncharacterized. The record is from RefSeq and is a predicted model, not a curated record. The transcript is spliced from 2 exons. NCBI's taxonomy places the organism in Eukaryota, Metazoa, Arthropoda, Branchiopoda, Diplostraca, Daphniidae.